Molecule: unclassified non-coding RNA, 334 nt
Filed under: soil metagenome
Description: partial contains 5.8S ribosomal RNA, internal transcribed spacer 2, and large subunit ribosomal RNA
Rfam family: 5.8S ribosomal RNA (bases 1-120)
Source: RNAcentral
GAUGAAGAACGUAGCGAAAUGCGAUACGUAAUGUGAAUUGCAGAAUUCAGUGAAUCAUCGAAUCUUUGAACGCACAUUGCGCCUGCCAGCACUCUGGCAGGCAUGCCUGUUCGAGCGUCAUUUCAACCAUCAAGCCCUAGGCUUGCGUUGGAGCCCUGCGGCUGCCGCUGGCCCCUAAAAGCAGUGGCGGGCUCGCUAUCACACCGAGUGCAGUAGAUUACUCUUCGCUCAGGGCGUGUGGCGGGUUCCAGCCGUGAAACCCCCUACUUCUCAAGGUUGACCUCGGAUCAGGUAGGAAUACCCGCUGAACUUAAGCAUAUCAAUAAGCGGAGGA